AGUGAACGCUGGCGGUAGGCCUAACACAUGCAGGUCGAACGGCAGCACAGUAAGAGCUUGCUCUUACGGGUGGCGAGUGGCGGACGGGUGAGGAAUACAUCGGAAUCUACUUUUUCGUGGGGGAUAACGUAGGGAAACUUACGCUAAUACCGCGUACGACCUACGGGUGAAAGCAGGGGAUCUUCGGACCUUGCGCGAUUGAAUGAGCCGAUGUCGGAUUAGCUAGUUGGCGGGGUAAAGGCCCACCAAGGCGACGAUCCGUAGCUGGUCUGAGAGGAUGAUCAGCCACACUGGAACUGAGACACGGUCCAGACUCCUACGGGAGGCAGCAGUGGGGAAUAUUGGACAAUGGGCGCAAGCCUGAUCCAGCCAUACCGCGUGGGUGAAGAAGGCCUUCGGGUUGUAAAGCCCUUUUGUUGGGAAAGAAAAGCAGCAGGUUAAUACCCCGCUGUUCUGACGGUACCCAAAGAAUAAGCACCGGCUAACUUCGUG
Molecule: ribosomal RNA, 492 nt
Filed under: uncultured bacterium
Lineage: Bacteria
Description: partial 16S ribosomal RNA
Rfam family: Bacterial small subunit ribosomal RNA
Source: RNAcentral